Molecule: long non-coding RNA, 1014 nt
Organism: Sycon ciliatum
Lineage: Eukaryota; Metazoa; Porifera; Calcarea; Leucosolenida; Sycettidae
Exons: 2
Source: RefSeq, a predicted model, not a curated record
CAGUGAUGGAAGCAAGGGAGACCUGGCACGAAGUUCAAUGGCCGAACUUGGCAAAGCCUUCAACCCGCUGUCAGCAGGCGCCAUGGCAGAAAUCGAGCGGUUUGUCUGCAUGCUGUAUGGCCGGUCAAACCAGUCAAGCGUUAACAGCUUACGGUACGAGUUGUUUUGCUUGCUGGAUAACGCCAAGGAUUCGAGCAGACUGCCCCCAUGCCACGAUGCUCUGCGUAAACACGCAGCAAGGGCCAACUUCCAGGCGGCUGUUUGGUGACGUGCUCUAGAAGCCCAGCCCCCUGUCCCUGAAGCGUACGCUGGAAGCCAUGGUUGGCAGCUGUCCAAUGGCCAGCUGCGCAUUGAUUGGCUCUCGGUAGCUGCAGCACCACAAGCAAUCUCGGAAUUUGUGAAGUGUUCCUACAAGACCGGCUGCCAAGGGAAUAGAUGCUCAUGCCGCAGCCAAUCCCUUCCCUGCACGGAUGUUUGUGGAUGCAGUAGCGAGUGUAGCAACCGCGAGGAGUCAGGUCAUCCCAUAAUUCAAGAAGAUGACGACACUGUCCAGUAGCCGUUGGAUUACUACACAUGCCUGGUCCAAGAUCUCCAUCACCACAGCUGUCAGCUGUCAUCGUGUUGCAGCAUUGGUGUAACAUUUCUAUCUGUUUAACUGCCUACAGACUGUACUUGCCCUGGCAACCUGGUAGGCCCAUUCGAUCAUGCCACACACUCUUUCCACACUGUAUGUAUUUUUCAUGUUGAUAACAAUCACAGCAUAAUAUCUGUAAUGAGCCUAAGUGAACUGCAGUAGUCGUUGUCUUCCGUGAUGUUUCCUCUGAUACUGCUACUCUGGCUGGCUAUGUUAUGUGUAAUUCGAAGUACAUCAGACUCUAGGGUACAGUUUACGGAUUCUGGUUGCCAUGCGUUUAAGCAGCUCAAUCAAUGCUAAUACAUGGCCAAUCGAAACGGUCUGUCCUCUGCAUUGAUGAAACGGGGCGUAGUGGUGCACCCAUUGCAUGAAAGUCUUUC